ACUCUGCACUAGCCCGAUUUUCUGUGAUUUACACUGGAGCAAUGGAGAUGAAGGAAGAUGUUCAAGCUGGACGUGUCUCCUGGCGCCAUGAUGUUGACAUCAGGAGCUGGAGGAGCAGCUGGAACUUUCGAAACGUAACAUUCUAUACUGGCCGGCAACCGCCUUUGUUGACUCGGGUGGCUGCAGGAGGCACCAGCUACUUCAUGCUGGUGCCCUUUGCUGACAUUCGGCGCCCACAAAAUGGGCGAAUCCGGGAAAACCUGCCCUUUCCAGCGUUCCCCAAAUGCACAGCAGAAGUACAGGCAGAUCUGUUUCUGGGAAAAACAACCCUCAGGCUGUUCGAGGAUCAGUUGUGCCUUCCAGCACAGCAAGCCUCGAAAUAUAAAUGGACUGUUCCUGCCACCUGAUAACAAUGUGCCGUUGCAACAGGGUGGCCAAGAAAGGACUCUGCAUCCAGCACAUCUUCAAGAAUCACUCAGAAACCAAGAGAAUAUUUCCCUACCAGUUCAUGCUCCACUGAUUAUAAGGCUCAACAAUGCUGAAGAUGAACAGGACGAUGAAGAGGAUGAUGACAAAU
Long non-coding RNA from Columba livia (rock pigeon), 577 nucleotides. RefSeq lists it as uncharacterized. The transcript is spliced from 3 exons. NCBI's taxonomy places the organism in Eukaryota, Metazoa, Chordata, Aves, Columbiformes, Columbidae. The record is from RefSeq and is a predicted model, not a curated record.